GAUGAACGCUGGCGGCGUGCCUAAUACAUGCAAGUCGAGCGAACAGACGAGGAGCUUGCUCCUCUGACGUUAGCGGCGGACGGGUGAGUAACACGUGGAUAACCUACCUAUAAGACUGGGAUAACUUCGGGAAACCGGAGCUAAUACCGGAUAAUAUAUUGAACCGCAUGGUUCAAUAGUGAAAGACGGUUUUGCUGUCAAUUAUAGAUGGAUCCGCGCCGCAUUAGCUAGUUGGUAAGGUAACGGCUUACCAAGGCAACGAUGCGUAGCCGACCUGAGAGGGUCAUCGGCCACACUGGAACUUAGACACGCUCCAGCCUCCUACGGGAGGCAGCAGUAGGGACUCUUCCGCCAUGGGCGAAAGCCUGACGGAGCAACGCCGCGUGAGUGAUGAAGGUCUUCCGAUCGUAAAACUCUGUUAUUAGGGAAGAACAAAUGUCUAAUUAACUAUGCACGUCUUGACGGUACCUAAUCAGAAAGCCACGGCUAACUACGUG
This 497-nucleotide ribosomal RNA is filed under the name uncultured bacterium. RNAcentral's name for it is "partial 16S ribosomal RNA". It matches the Rfam family "Bacterial small subunit ribosomal RNA", at positions 28 to 507 of the family's 1533-position model. The record is from RNAcentral.